Molecule: ribosomal RNA, 288 nt
Filed under: uncultured Levilinea sp.
Lineage: Bacteria; Bacillati; Chloroflexota; Anaerolineae; Anaerolineales; Anaerolineaceae
Description: partial 16S ribosomal RNA
Rfam family: Bacterial small subunit ribosomal RNA
Source: RNAcentral
AAGUCCGCUAACGAGCGCAACCCCUUUGCUGUGUGUUACAUGUGUCACACGGGACUGCCGGUCUUAAACCGGAGGAAGGUGGGGAUGAUGUCAAGUCAGCAUGGCCUUUAUAUCCUGGGCUACACACACGCUACAAUGGCCGGUACAAUAGGUUGCGAAGCCGCGAGGCGGAGCCAAUCCUCAAAGCCGGCCUCAGUUCAGAUUGCAGGCUGCAACCCGCCUGCAUGAAGAUGGAGUUGCUAGUAACCGCAGGUCAGCAAUACUGCGGUGAAUACGUUCCCGGGGCUU